Molecule: non-coding RNA, 72 nt
Organism: Methanobrevibacter smithii ATCC 35061
Lineage: Archaea; Methanobacteriati; Methanobacteriota; Methanobacteria; Methanobacteriales; Methanobacteriaceae
Source: Rfam
GGCAAGCUGACCGAGCGGCUUAGGUGCGUGGCUGCAGACCAUGAUACUGGGGUUCAAAUCCCUAGCUUGCCU